GAGCAUUGUGGGGCCCGCUUGGAUCUCCUUGUCCAAAGGGUCUGGGCGCCGGGGCUGCAGUCUCUGGGUGAGGAGGCGGACGCGGGAAACCUGCUUCGGUCUCCAUGGUUACGAGCCGCUCAGCGCGCAGGAGGGGGAUUCAAAGGUUGGCGUUGCCACAGUAACCCUGGAGUGGAAGGAGACGGGGAUUAGAGACCUCGCGGGAGAAAUUAGACUAACAGCCUGGGAACUGGAGGGAUGGAGGGUGUGCCGGAGGAAUCAGUCUGCAGUAAGGGGAGUUGGGGUGAUAUUAGGGGAAAUGGGAUGUUUUCAAGGACAGGGAGUGUUUUGGUGAAUUCCUAUGUAAUAAGGAGAUUUGGGGAGAUCAUUGAAAUCGACAAGUUACUAGAUACUUGGGAUGCUCAAGGGGAAGUGGAAACGCAGUAGGAUCCGCCCGCCUCAGCCUCCCAAAGCAGUAGGGAAAAUUGGGGUAUUAAGCUCUUUUGCCAUUCUGCAGUUAUUAUAGAGCUCCUGCUGGAAGCCAGGCACAGUUGACAGUACUGGUAAACAGGACAGAUGUGACUAUAGACGGAAUUGGGGUUUCAUGGAGAAGGGGAGGUAUAAGAAAAGGGGACUGUUGUCCUCUAUGGGAGGGACUGGGAGGCGAUUGGGAAGAACUGGCGCUGUAAAGAGAAGCUGGAAGUUUUAUAAGGGAAUUGAGGUAUUAUAUAAGUUAAUUCUGUUGUUAUUUAUAGAAGGCCAACUCAGUAGCAGCCUCUAGGAAGCACUGAGGAUUCCUCAGUAUGCAAAGGCAUUUAGUGAUAGAGUUACCAGAUUUAGGGGGAAAGCAAUGGCCAGUUAAAUUCUAAUUUCGGAAAAUGCAUAAUAUUGUAGUUACUCUCUGUUGUUUAUCUGAAAUUCAAAUUUAGCUGGGCAUCCUGUAUUUUAUUUGGCAGCUCUCAUUAUGGUUAAUUUAAGUGUUUGUGAAGAGUGGGUUAUUAUAGGGGAAACAGGUAUUAUAGAGUAAUUGGGUUGUAGGAGGAGCUGGGGAUAGUCAGGAAAAGUCGGAGUGUUGAAGCUAACGCCAAGAUCAGCACUGACUGUGUGCCAGAGACUAUGCUAAGUACUCUUAUUUUUAAAAACGUUUUAUUAUGGAAAGUUUCGGCCAUAUACAAUUGUUUGCUUGUUUUUGAGAUGGAGUCUUACGCUGUCGCCCAGGCUGGAGUGCAGUGGCAUGAUCUCUGCUCAUUUCAACCUCUGCUUCCCGGGUUCAAGCGAUUCUCCUGCCUCAGCCUCCCGAGUAGCUGGGAUUACAGGUGCGCACCACCACGCCCGGCUAAUUUUUGUAAUUUUAGUAGAGAAGGGGUUUCACCAUGUUGGCCAGGCUGGUCUUGAACUCCUGACCUCAAGAGAUUCACCCACCUCAGUCUCCCAAAGUGCUGGGAUUAUAGGCGUGAGCCACUGCGCCUGGCCCAUAUACAAUUGUUAAACAGAUAAUAUAUAAUAAAGCUACUUGUACCCAUCUCUGCUUUACAUGAGUGCUGUUGAGGCAUCCCAACAUUCCUAUGAGGUAGCGUUACUGUCACACCCCCAUUUUACAGAUGAGGAAACUGCACCACAGAGAGGUUAAAUAACUUGGCCAGAGGUGUUAGAACCAGAAUUUGGACCCACACAAUCGGGCCCCAGAGUCUGGGCUCUCAGCUGCCAUAUCACAUGUAACCUCCGUCUGGGAAAUGUGAGUAGGGAGUGAGGCAUGAUGGGAGCAACAAGAGAGUAGUAGUAAGGUAUAAAAGGAAAGGUAGGGAAUUGGGCCGUUUGAGCAUUGUGCAGUUGUUAUAGGAUUUUUAUUUUUAUUUUUUGAGACAGAGUCUCACUCUGUCACCCAGGCUGGAGUGCAGUGGUGCAAUUUUGGCUCACUGCAACCUCCACCUUCUGAGUUCAAGCAAUUCUCCUGCCUCAGCCUCCCAAGUAGCUGGGAUUACGGGUGUGCGCCACCAUGCCUGGCUAAUUUUUGUAUUUUCAGUAGAGACGAGGUUUCACCACGUUGGCCAGGCUGGUCUCGAACUCCUAACCUCAAGUGAUCCACCCGCCUCAGCCUCCCAGAGUGCUGGGAUUACAGCCGUGAGCCAUCGCCCCCAGCCAGUUGUUCUAGGAUUUUUAUAAGAUGUUUUGGGAGACUGGGGGAGUUACAGAAGAGUUUGGUGUUUUGAAACAUUAUGGGAAGUUGUAUAGUUGCAUUUCAAUAGAACAGUAGCAGCUAGCCACAUGUGGGUGCAUUACAUUAAUUAUAAUGAAAUAAAACUCAGCACAUUUCAGGAAGCGCCUACCGUAUUGGAUAGUGAAGAUCUAGAGCAGUCCCAAUGAGUCUGGAUAACAGGGAUUUAGGGUAACCAAGGGUUAAGGCACAAGCAGGUGCAGCCAGUUCUAGGCAAGAUUGGGCAGCAUCCAGGCCACAUCCUCACUCCUGUGAUAACAAGACAGAAGUCUCCACUUCAGCCUCUUGAUUGGUCACGGGCCAAUCCUUCAUAGGGUGUAACCAACUGGAGGCCUCUAAAGGGCACCUAGGGGUGUUACCAAAUUCUUUUAGCUUAAUGAAAACUCUAAAGAGCACUGCAGUCAGGGGCUCUUGAGCUACUUGCUCAAGCCCACUCCGACUCUGGAGUGUACUUUCACUUCCAUAAAUCUGUGCUUUCGUUACUCCGCUCUUUUGUUGCUUUGUUUGUGCAUUUUGUUCAAUUCUUUGUUCCACACACCAAGAACCCUAACAACUCACAGUCAGGACCUUCCAUAGGGUAACACCAUCACUGCAGAAAGUUCUGUUGGACAGCCCUGAUGUGUGGGGUGACAAGUGUGGAGGCUUUCCUGGCUCCUAAAGUUCGACCUUAUCUCUUAGCGAUUGCUCUCGUACUUCCUCUGACUCACCCCUAACCUUCUCCUCUCUGUUCUACUAAAAAUACAAAAAUUAGCUGGGCGUGGUGGUGGGCACCUGUAAUCCCAGCUACUCAGGAGGCUG
RNAcentral lists this long non-coding RNA (2992 nucleotides) under Homo sapiens (human). RNAcentral describes it as "non-protein coding lnc-ZSWIM9-2:1". Lineage: Eukaryota; Metazoa; Chordata; Mammalia; Primates; Hominidae. The record is from RNAcentral.